AUUGAACGCUGGCGGCAGGCCUAACACAUGCAAGUCGAACGAGUGGCGGACGGGUGAGUAAUGUCUGGGAAACUGCCCGAUGGAGGGGGAUAACUACUGGAAACGGUAGCUAAUCCCGCAUCCCAUCGGCUGUGCCCAGAUGGGAUUAGCUAGUAGGUGGGGUAACGGCUCACCUAGGCGACGAUCCCUAGCUGGUCUGAGAGGAUGACCGGCCAAACUGGAAUUGGGACACGGUCCAGACUCCUACGGAAGGAAGCAGUGGGAAAUAUUGCACAAUGGGGGCAGGCCUGAUGCAGCCAUGCGGGGUGUAUGAAGAGGGCCUUGGGGUUGUAAAGUACUUUCAGCGAGGGGGCGUUACUCGCAGAAGAAGCACCGGCUAACUCCGUGCCAGCAGCCGCGGUAAUC
Molecule: ribosomal RNA, 405 nt
Filed under: uncultured bacterium
Lineage: Bacteria
Description: partial 16S ribosomal RNA
Rfam family: Bacterial small subunit ribosomal RNA
Source: RNAcentral